Long non-coding RNA from Neofelis nebulosa (Clouded leopard), 655 nucleotides. RefSeq lists it as uncharacterized. The transcript has 2 exons. The record is from RefSeq and is a predicted model, not a curated record. NCBI's taxonomy places the organism in Eukaryota, Metazoa, Chordata, Mammalia, Carnivora, Felidae.
GCCCCUGGUCCGCCCCACACAGCGCCUGACAAUUGCGCAGGCGCCCUAAGGCUCCGCCCACGUCCCGUGGCCGCGCAGGCGCCUACGGCCCCGCCCACUCCGUUCACCUCCCUCCGGUCUCUGGGUAGCGCAGGCGCCCUUUCACCUGGCCAGCCACAAAAAAAGACUCCGGCACGUGGUUCUGACGGGUCAGGUUUUGCGCCAGAGCUCCGGAUGGCAGAUGCUCCUGGGUGCUGCGUUUGGCGCGGUGGGGUGAUGAGUGUAGAGCUCUCUUGUCCCAAAGCCUUACCUCAGCUCAAAGGUCCACCUUUCCUGCAGCACAUAUUUACAGUGUACCAAGGACGGUGCCAGGCAUGAGGUAGACAGUAGCGAUAAAAACACAAGCCCUGCCCUCCUGGCGCUCCCCGUGCAGCAGGGGACACAGACACUAAACAGAGCACCAGCGGGGGAGAGGGGCGGAGGGAGAGAGAAUCCUAAGCAGGGUCCAUGCUCAGCAUAGAGCCCAACAUGGGCUCGAUCCUACGACCCUGGGAGCUGAAAUCAAGAGACUUACGCCCAACCCACUGAGCUGCCCGAUACCCCUACUUUUGCUUUCUUGUACUGUCCAUGGCUGGUUUGGGAUUUAAUUUAUAAUAAAGUCAUAAUGAGUUGAGGC